UCUUGGGGGUAUGAUAUAAAAUGCUAACCUUCCCUGUUAUUGUAAUGGUGAGAGGUUAGCAUGUCUUGGGUGUAUGAUAUAAAAUGCUAACCUCCCCUGUUAUUGUAAUGGUGAGAGGUUAGCAUGUCUUGGUGGUAUGAUAUAAAAUGCUAACCUCCCCUGUUAUUGUAAUGGUGAGAGGUUAGCAUGUCUUGGAGGUAUGAUAUAAAAUGCUAACCUCCCCUGUUAUUGUAAUGGUGAGAGGUUAGCAUGUCUUGGGGGUAUGAUAUAAAAUGCUAACCUCCCCUGUUAUUGUAAUGGUGAGAGGUUAGCAUGUCUUGGAGGUAUGAUAUAAAAUGCUAACCUCCCCUGUUAUUGUAAUGGUGAGAGGUUAGCAUGUCUUGGGGAUAUGAUAUAAAAUGCUAACCUCCCCUGUUAUUGUAAUGGUGAGAGGUUAGCAUGUCUUGGGGGUAUGAUAUAAAAUGCUAACCUCCCCUGUUAUUGUAAUGGUGGGAGGUUAGCAUGUCUUGGGGGUAUGAUAUAAAAUGCUAACCUCCCCUGUUAUUGUAAUGGUGAGAGGUUAGCAUGUCUUGGGGGUAUGAUAUAAAAUGCUAACCUCCCCUGUUAUUGUAAUGGUGAGAGGUUAGCAUGUCUUGGAGGUAUGAUAUAAAAUGCUAACCUCCCCUGUUAUUGUAAUGGUGAGAGGUUAGCAUGUCUUGGAGGUAUGAUAUAAAAUGCUAACCUCCCCUGUUAUUGUAAUGGUGAGAGGUUAGCAUGUCUUGGAGGUAUGAUAUAAAAUGCUAACCUCCCCUGUUAUUGUAAUGGUGAGAGGUUAGCAUGUCUUGGGG
Oncorhynchus keta (chum salmon) is the source of this 827-nucleotide long non-coding RNA. RefSeq lists it as uncharacterized. Lineage: Eukaryota; Metazoa; Chordata; Actinopteri; Salmoniformes; Salmonidae. The record is from RefSeq and is a predicted model, not a curated record. The transcript has 4 exons.